Molecule: non-coding RNA, 23 nt
Filed under: Arabidopsis thaliana (thale cress)
Lineage: Eukaryota; Viridiplantae; Streptophyta; Magnoliopsida; Brassicales; Brassicaceae
Source: RNAcentral
GAAUGGAGGGUAAAAGCCUAGUU